UAGCAACGGAUUUUCUGUUGCUAAACAAAUUCCGAAAAAAAAAAAACAUGGGUUGCAACGGAAUUUCCGUUGCAA
RNAcentral lists this small RNA (75 nucleotides) under Salix viminalis (osier). The record is from RNAcentral. Lineage: Eukaryota; Viridiplantae; Streptophyta; Magnoliopsida; Malpighiales; Salicaceae.